CAUGCCAGAACAGAAUCGAACCCGGGCCGCCCGCGUGGCAGGCGAGCAUUCUACCACUGAACCACCGAUGC
This is a non-coding RNA of Teladorsagia circumcincta, 71 nucleotides long. The record is from the annotation of a GenBank genome assembly. Lineage: Eukaryota; Metazoa; Nematoda; Chromadorea; Rhabditida; Trichostrongylidae.